This 494-nucleotide ribosomal RNA is filed under the name uncultured bacterium. Its description in RNAcentral is "partial 16S ribosomal RNA". It matches the Rfam family "Bacterial small subunit ribosomal RNA", at positions 28 to 507 of the family's 1533-position model. The record is from RNAcentral.
GACGAACGCUGGCGGCGUGCUUAACACAUGCAAGUCGAACGGAAAGGCCUGCUUUCCCUUGUGGAUUGCGGGUACUCGAGUGGCGAACGGGUGAGUAACACGUGAGUGAUCUGCCCCCAACUUGGGUAUAAGCCUGGGAAACUGGGUCUAAUUCCCGAUAGGACUGCAGGGUGGUGCCUGUGGUGGAAAACGAUUUUCUAGUGGUUGGGGAUGAGCUCGCGGCCUGUCAGCUUGUUGGUGGGGUAAUGGCCUACCAAGGCGGCGACGGGUAGCCGGCCUGGGAGGGUGGACGGCCACAUUGGGACUGAGAUACGGCCCAGACUCCUACGGGAGGCAGCAGUGGGGAAUAUUGCACAAUGGGCGGAAGCCUGAUGCAGCGACGCCGCGUGGGGGAUGCCGGCCUUCGGGUUGUAAACUCCUUUCGACCGCGAGGAAGCCACCUGGUUGGAAGGGUGGUGACGGUAGUGGUAGAAGAAGCACCGGCUAACUACGUG